AUUGAACGCUGGCGGCAGGCCUAACACAUGCAAGUCGAACGAGUGGCGGACGGGUUAGUAAUGUCUGGGAAACUGCCUGAUGGAGGGGGAUAACUACUGGAAACGGUAGCUAAUACCGCAUACCAUCAACUGUGCCCAGAUGGGAUUAGCUUGUUGGGGGGGUCACGGCUCACCAUGGCGACGCUCCCUAGCUGGUCUGAGAGGAUGACCAGACACACUGGGACUGAGACACGGUGCAGACGCCUACGGGAGGGAGUAGUGGGGAAUAUUGCACAAUGGGCGCAAGCCUGAUGCAGCCAUGCCGCGUGUAUGAAGAAGGCCUUCGGGUUGUAAAGUACUUUCAGCGGGGAGGCGUUACCCGAAGAGGAAGCACCGGCUAACUCCGUGACAGCAGCCGCGGUAAUUC
This 406-nucleotide ribosomal RNA is filed under the name uncultured bacterium. Its description in RNAcentral is "partial 16S ribosomal RNA". It matches the Rfam family "Bacterial small subunit ribosomal RNA", at positions 30 to 526 of the family's 1533-position model. The record is from RNAcentral.